GAUGAAGAACGUAGCGAAAUGCGAUAAGUAAUGCGAAUUGCAGAAUUCAGUGAGUCAUCGAAUCUUUGAACGCACAUUGCGCCCUGUGGUAUUCCGCAGGGCAUGCCUGUUCGAGCGUCAUUUCAGCCCUCAAGCUCUGCUUGGUGUUGGGCCCUGCCCGCUGCGGCCGGCCCUAAAGACAGUGGCGGUGCCGCCUGGCCCUGAGCGUAGUACAUCUCUCGCUCCAGUGCCCGGUGGUAGCCUGCCAGAACCCCAACUCUCGUGGUUGACCUCGGAUCAGGUAGGGAUACCCGCUGAACUUAAGCAUAUCAAUAAGCGGAGGA
This 323-nucleotide unclassified non-coding RNA is filed under the name soil metagenome. RNAcentral's name for it is "partial contains 5.8S ribosomal RNA, internal transcribed spacer 2, and large subunit ribosomal RNA". The stretch from base 1 to 120 matches the Rfam family "5.8S ribosomal RNA", at positions 35 to 154 of the family's 154-position model. The record is from RNAcentral.